Molecule: non-coding RNA, 567 nt
Organism: Taeniopygia guttata (zebra finch)
Lineage: Eukaryota; Metazoa; Chordata; Aves; Passeriformes; Estrildidae
Source: RefSeq, a predicted model, not a curated record
CUUUCUUCCGAAACUCUCCCGAGCCGUUCCGGCAAGUGGUUCUGUGACUCGGGAGCUGACAACAGCCGCAUGCAAAGGAACAAAGAAUGAGAGUGACAAUUCAGAGUGCACGCAGGACUUCUACAGAUGUGAAGCAGUCUGCAGAAGCAGCAGAUCUCCAGGUGAACUGGCCAGUGUCUCCAUAUUUCCUCAAAUGACUAUUUUUACUUUAUUUUUUUGUUGGAUCAGGCUUUUAAUCUUUAUGAUACCUCUAUAAAAGAGUCGUCAAGAAAACAUAUAAGUAUUUCUACACAAAAUUUAAAAAAAAAUCAGGUUAUUUCCAAUUAGUUAAUUUCCAAUUAGUUAAUUUAAUAAAAAUUAAUUUUGGAAGUCGAGAAUUAGAGUUGUCAUUAAAAUAAAACCCUAGUUUGCCCAGCUCCAUAGUAAAUAACUCACAUUUUGUCUGGAACAGUUUGCAGAUGUAAAUCCAUUGAAGGGAAAUCAUUUCUGUUAGUUGACUACCUGGAUAAGCUUUAAGCAAAGUGCCAGCUAUCUGUGUAUAUAGGGAAUCACCACGAUCCAAACAAA